Molecule: transfer RNA, 83 nt
Filed under: Allobosea sp. RAC05
Lineage: Bacteria; Pseudomonadati; Pseudomonadota; Alphaproteobacteria; Hyphomicrobiales; Alloboseaceae
Description: Bosea sp. RAC05 tRNA
Rfam family: tRNA
About the family: Transfer RNA (tRNA) molecules are approximately 80 nucleotides in length. Their secondary structure includes four short double-helical elements and three loops (D, anti-codon, and T loops). Further hydrogen bonds mediate the characteristic L-shaped molecular structure. tRNAs have two regions of fundamental functional importance: the anti-codon, which is responsible for specific mRNA codon recognition, and the 3' end, to which the tRNAs corresponding amino acid is attached (by aminoacyl-tRNA synthetases). tRNAs cope with the degeneracy of the genetic code in two manners: having more than one tRNA (with a specific anti-codon) for a particular amino acid; and 'wobble' base-pairing, i.e. permitting non-standard base-pairing at the 3rd anti-codon position.
Source: Rfam by way of RNAcentral
GCGCUCGUGGCGAAACUGGUAGACGCGCCUGGCUCAAACCCAGGUGAUCCUCGAUCAUGCAGGUUCAAACCCUGCCGAGCGCA